GACGAACGCUGGCGGCGUGCCUAAUACAUGCAAGUCGAGCGGACGAAUCGAAAGCUUGCUUUUGAUUCGUUAGCGGCGGACGGGUGAGUAACACGUGGGCAACCUGCCCUGUAGACGGGGAUAACACCGAGAAAUCGGUGCUAAUACCGGAUAACACGAAAUGUCGCAUGACGUUUCGUUGAAAGACGGCGCAAGCUGUCGCUACAGGAUGUGCCCGCGGCGCAUUAGCUAGUUGGUGAGGUAACGGCUCACCAAGGCGACGAUGCGUAGCCGACCUGAGAGGGUGAUCGGCCACACUGGGACUGAGACACGGCCCAGACUCCUACGGGAGGCAGCAGUAGGGAAUCUUCCGCAAUGGACGAAAGUCUGACGGAGCAACGCCGCGUGAGCGAAGAAGGCCUUCGGGUCGUAAAGCUCUGUUGUUAGGGAAGAACAAGUAACGCAGUAACUGGCGUUACCGUGACGGUACCUAACGAGAAAGCCGCGGCUAACUACGUG
This 498-nucleotide ribosomal RNA is filed under the name uncultured bacterium. RNAcentral describes it as "partial 16S ribosomal RNA". It matches the Rfam family "Bacterial small subunit ribosomal RNA", at positions 28 to 507 of the family's 1533-position model. The record is from RNAcentral.